CGUGUAGGCGGUUUGUUAAGUCUGUUGUGAAAGCCCUGGGCUCAACCCAGGAAGUGCACUGGAUACUGGCAGACUUGAAUACGGGAGAGGGUAGUGGAAUUCCUAGUGUAGGAGUGAAAUCCGUAGAUAUUAGGAGGAACACCGGUGGCGAAGGCGGCUGCCUGGACCGAUAUUGACGCUGAGACGCGAAAGCGUGGGUAGCAAACAG
Molecule: ribosomal RNA, 208 nt
Filed under: uncultured delta proteobacterium
Lineage: Bacteria; Deltaproteobacteria
Description: partial 16S ribosomal RNA
Rfam family: Bacterial small subunit ribosomal RNA
Source: RNAcentral